RNAcentral lists this ribosomal RNA (824 nucleotides) under Sclerophomella clematidis-rectae. RNAcentral's name for it is "Calophoma clematidis-rectae partial large subunit ribosomal RNA". It matches the Rfam family "Eukaryotic large subunit ribosomal RNA", at positions 75 to 917 of the family's 3401-position model. Lineage: Eukaryota; Fungi; Ascomycota; Dothideomycetes; Pleosporales; Didymellaceae. The record is from RNAcentral.
UUGCCCUAGUAACGGCGAGUGAAGCGGCAACAGCUCAAAUUUGAAAUCUGGCGUCUUUGGCGUCCGAGUUGUAAUUUGCAGAGGGCGCUUUGGCAUUGGCAGCGGUCCAAGUUCCUUGGAACAGGACGUCACAGAGGGUGAGAAUCCCGUACGUGGUCGCUAGCCUUUACCGUGUAAAGCCCCUUCGACGAGUCGAGUUGUUUGGGAAUGCAGCUCUAAAUGGGAGGUAAAUUUCUUCUAAAGCUAAAUACUGGCCAGAGACCGAUAGCGCACAAGUAGAGUGAUCGAAAGAUGAAAAGCACUUUGGAAAGAGAGUUAAAAAGCACGUGAAAUUGUUGAAAGGGAAGCGCUUGCAGCCAGACUUGCCUGUAGUUGCUCAUCCGGGUUUCUACCCGGUGCACUCUUCUAUAGGCAGGCCAGCAUCAGUUUGGGCGGUUGGAUAAAGAUCUCUGUCAUGUACCUCUCUUCGGGGAGAACUUAUAGGGGAGAUGACAUGCAACCAGCCUGGACUGAGGUCCGCGCAUCUGCUAGGAUGCUGGCGUAAUGGCUGUAAGCGGCCCGUCUUGAAACACGGACCAAGGAGUCUAACAUCUAUGCGAGUGUUUGGGUGUCAAGCCCGAGCGCGUAAUGAAAGUGAACGGAGGUGGGAGCCUUUCGGGGUGCACCAUCGACCGAUCCUGAUGUCUUCGGAUGGAUUUGAGUAAGAGCAUAGCUGUUGGGACCCGAAAGAUGGUGAACUAUGCUUGAAUAGGGUGAAGCCAGAGGAAACUCUGGUGGAGGCUCGCAGCGGUUCUGACGUGCAAAUCGAUCGUCAAAUUUGGGCA